Musa acuminata subsp. malaccensis (wild Malaysian banana) is the source of this 4345-nucleotide RNA transcript. It is a transcript of the gene named myosin-binding protein 1, with no coding region annotated. NCBI's taxonomy places the organism in Eukaryota, Viridiplantae, Streptophyta, Magnoliopsida, Zingiberales, Musaceae. The record is from RefSeq and is a predicted model, not a curated record.
CUCUGAAGCAAUAUUCUCUUCCUGCGCUCGUCUUUCCCAUCUCCUCUUCCUCCGCUUCCGCUUCUCGAAGAGCUGGAAUCGCUUUCACUCAUCGCCUUUCGGUUCGUGCCGUGUCCUUAUCUUGCGAUUCCAUCCGACUUUUUCCAUCCUUCGACGUCAGCUCCUGAGAAUAGUGUCAAUAAUGGAGACGAGGGACUCGUGGGAGGUGGAAAGCCCUCACCUUUCGGUUUGCUUUUGUCUUUCUCUUGCCUUCAUAAACCCAAUUCCAUCCAUCGCCUCCUCUUCUCUUCGGAUCAAGGUCUUCCUGAUUGCUUUCUGGGUUAUCUUUCCUUUUAUUUUCUUUUGCUGAUAUGAUUGACUUACUGCCUGUUUUGUUCGAUUUUGUCUCCUUAGAUCCGUUUCUUAGUUUGGUCACUUUCUUGUUGAAUUGAUUGAAAUUACAAUUAUUUAUUAGAAUGAUUGAGAUCUGCUCUGUUUUCUUUGGUAUUUACCAUAGUUUGAUACUUCUGAGAUAUGGUUUUUCUCUGUUCAUCCUGUUGAAUUGAUUUGGACUUCGUUUUCUUUUUCGGUUCCCUUUUCCCAUUUUUACAUGUACUAUUAUCAAGUGUACUGAUAGUUGAUGCUUGUGCUGUUGUUAACUUACUUUGGUGCUACAAUUUAUGUAAAAUUAUAUGACUAGAAUGAUGUCUAUCGUUGAAUAUCCUACAUGGUAUUCUAGGACCUGAUGUCAGCAUGUUGAUGUUUGCAGUAACAAUUUCUAGCUUGGAGAUACCAUUUCAGUAGCUCGGAAGAUCGACUUCUCUGAGAAUUUGAUGCGAGCCCCACUAAUCAUGGCUUCGAGGGCACCUGUUGGUGGAUUCCAACGACUCUCAUCUGCUUUGUCUUCAGCUGCUCUUGAAUGGAUGUUGAUGCUUCUGUUAUUCUUUGAUGCCUUGUUUGUCUACCUGGUGACAAGGUUCUCUCGUCUUUGCAUGCUACAAAAACCUUGUAUGUUUUGCUCAAGGCUAGAUCAUGUUUUUGGAAAUGAGAAACGAAGCUUCUAUCUGGAUUUGAUCUGUGAAACUCACAGAUCAGAGAUCUCAUUGUUGGGUUGCUCUAAUGGUCAUGAAAAGCUUGCUGAUGUUCAUACCGUGUGCCAGGGCUGUUUUCGUUCAUUUGAUACCGAAGGGACAUCCAACUCUGAGACUUACAAAUCAUUGGUUGGUGAGUUAAAAGGGCAUCUUGAGGACGGUGAAGAUGUUCAGGACAUUGAUGGCCUCCAUCUGUUUCAUGGGGAUGAAUUGGCAAAUGUCCCUUUUUUAAAGAAGGAUGAUGAACUACAUGCCAUCAAGUCGCUUGAAGAUAAAUCCAUAAGAGUUGAUGUUUCUGAAGUUGACAUUUCUUUGUCAAGUUCAAAUGGGCACAGUUAUCUACAGAAUAAAGAUGGAGCGAGAAAGACGAGAGAGAAAACCUUGGUUUCCCCAGCAUAUCAGUAUUCAAAGAAUCAAGAACAUGAUCACUUCUCUCAUGUUGGAUACAGUGAAGUUAAAAUUACUUCGGACUCUGAUUCUGACUUAGAGAUCCAAUUCACAGAUGAUGAUGAAGGAAAUUCUCCAUCUCAUCGAGCUGAAACUGUCAUGUAUGAUUUGGUGUCUCAUGUUGAAGAAUCAGAGGGUGUCACUCUAAUAAAAAAUGAUUUAUCUGGAAGUGUUUCUGGUGAAAGAGCCACAGAAAAGUUGAUUCGUGCGGAUCAAAUUAGUGUUUCAGAUGCUAAACCCCUUGAAAAGUUGACCGACCCUGCUCCAGUAAUUAGUGACCCUUUUGAGUCAAUUCCUGAAAAGCAAAGAAAUGCAGGUGAGCUCCAUGAUAUAUCAACUGUUUCUUUAUCUGGUGCUACUACGCAAUGUUUGGAUGAUAGUAACCAGGAACAAAUUGAUGUCAAUGCUAUUCUCCCACAAUCUGAAUAUGUGCCACAAGGUCCCCAAGAACUUCUUGUAGAAGAUUCACAUGUGAAGGAUAAUUUGAAGUUUAGUGAUGCUGCUUAUGGUCAAACUACUACUAUUGAUGAUGCAAAGGAUUGCUGUACAACUGACAUCAAUUUGAGGACAAGUCAUGAUGCAAAAUUUAGUGUUUCUGAUGAUAAAGCCCUAGAAAAGUUGAUGCACUCUGAUCCAGUUAUCACUGAGCCUUCGGAGUCAAUUUCUGAGAAUCAAACAAACGUAGGUGAGCUCCAAGAUGCAUCAACCUUUUCAUCUUCUGGAGCUGCUGGACAUUUUUUGGAGGAUAGCAAUUGUAACCAGAUCGAAGUCAAAGCUAUUCCCCCCCAAUCUGAAUUUGUGCCACAAGAUUCUCAAGAAGUUCUUCUAGAAGAUUCAAAUGUGAAAGCAUGUACUGGUACUACUUCAGUUGAUGAUGCAAAGGAUUGGUGUACAACUAACAUCGAUUUGGGGACAAGUCAUGAUGCAAGUGACCCUGGUCAAUCUAUGAGUACUCGUAUGGAUUUGAAUGAUGCUUAUAAGAUUGCUGUUGGUGAUAAGGGAAGCUUGUCAUCUCCUAGAUUUACUGAUGUAAUCAUUGGGAGGGAUUCUUCUAGAGUUCAGGAAGAUCUGAAACUCCUGAUUUCUCAGAUAUCUGCAGCUCAGGGGCUUGAGUCUCCAUGGAAUGAAAUGAGCCCUAGUCCCCGAGUAUAUGGACAAGGCGAUGAAUAUAUAUUGCAGAACAUAACUAAAACACUCUCUCUCGAGAGGAAUGAAUCAGGAUUAGAGUCACUAGAUGGAAGCAUUGUAAGUGAGGUGGAAGGAGAAAGUCCAGUUGAGAGGCUGAAGCGGCAGGUUGAGUUGGACAGGAAGUCCAUAAGUCUUCUCUUCAAGGAGUUAGAAGAAGAAAGAAGUGCUUCAGCAAUUGCAGCAAAUCAAGCAAUGGCCAUGAUUACUAGGUUGCAAGAGGAGAAGGCUGCAAUGCAUAUGGAAGCCCUGCAGUACCAAAGAAUGAUGGAAGAGCAAGCAGAGUAUGACCAUGAAGCACUUCAAAAAUGUAACAAAUUGCUUACUCAAAGGGAGAAAAUGAUACAAGGCUUGGAAGCUGAGGUGGAAAGCCUUAGAAUAUGCUUUGUAGAAGGAUUAUCCACUGACAAUUCAGUGGAGCAGAGUGAUAACUUCCAUGAUAAGGAGAUUGCAUCUUGGAACAAAUCCGGGGAACCUCAUGUAACAUGUCAAAAUUCAAGAUGGAGUGAAUUUGGGGAUUUGAAGGAUCCCUUAUCUUGCUUUGAAGAUGAGGAGGCAUAUAUAUUAAACUGUUUGACAAAGUUGGAGAAAAAGCUUCAUCUUUUUUCCAAUAAUGGUGUUUAUGAUGAUAGUUCAAGUUUUAAUUUGAAUGCUGAUGAUGAAAAUGGACUUCCUGAUAAAACAUGUGGGGAUGUUGACGGAGAAUUUUUUGUAGAAAGGAAUGUUGUGUCAGAAGGUGGUGUGGGCACAAAUGGUCAAAUCUUUGACGAAGUUCAAGUUUCAAGUCAAGAGAAAAUUUAUCAGAAAGAUGGUCCUCCAGAAAAUAUUCAGGUAGGAGAGAACAUUAUGAUGGAAGAAAAAAUUUCUGGAAAAAGUUCAAGUUCCUCUGAAGGAAACCGUGGAGACAGUUAUGACAUUGACAAGCAAAAAUUAUUGAAAGUAGGGAACAAGAAUGAGUUAGUUGCUCUUGAGAAUGAAGUGUCACGUCUGAGUCAGAGGUUGGAGGCACUUGAGGCAGAUCGUAAUUUCCUGGAACAUGCCAUUAACUCACUCAGAAGUGGCAACAAUGGUGUUCAGAUUAUUCAAGAGAUAGCUUGUGAUCUGCGGGAAUUACGGAGAAUUGCAAUCACCCGAUGAGAGCGUCUUAUAACUUGAACUUUUAUCUUAUCCAAAAGGUUGGUGCAUGUAGCGGGCAAUACACUAGUUGUUGUAUUGGGUAAAUGUAGAAUCGAGGGCGAGCUUACUGCCUGGUUCAGACCCCCUAAAAGAAAAGCUCCAGAUAAUAAGCUCAGUUUCUGCAGGGCUUGGAUCGACGCACAAAGUCUGAGUAUUAUUUUCUAUAUUCAGAAAUGUGAGUAUUACCCAAUGAGUGUUUUUCUUUUCUUUUCUUCUUUGUGUUUGCUUGGUGUUGUGUUGUCUUUUUGUCCUCAUGGUCUCUUCCCUAUGUUCCCUCCCGAGUAUUCUUUAAACUCUUUAAAAUAUGUGUAAAUUUGUAAUAGGGUGAUUUUUUUGUAUGAUAGUAAUAACUUGCACACUGUAAAGUUCCUUCUGUAUUCGCGUAGGCCGCCGAUGUUUUUGCUUAUUAUGGGGACUUUUAGUUUUUGAAGAGUCUCAAUAAUAAAAAGUAACAGAUAUUAUGAUCC